Molecule: ribosomal RNA, 466 nt
Filed under: uncultured bacterium
Lineage: Bacteria
Description: partial 16S ribosomal RNA
Rfam family: Bacterial small subunit ribosomal RNA
Source: RNAcentral
GAUGAACGCUGGCGGCGUGCCUAACACAUGCAAGUCGAGCGAACCUUUCGGGGUGAGCGGCGGACGGGUGAGUAACGCGUGGGUAACCUGCCCUGUACACACGGAUAACAUACCGAAAGGUAUGCUAAUACGGGAUAACAUAUGAGAGUCGCAUGGCUUUCAUAUCAAAGCUCCGGCGGUACAGGAUGGACCCGCGUCUGAUUAGCUAGUUGGUAAGGUAACGGCUUACCAAGGCAACGAUCAGUAGCCGACCUGAGAGGGUGAUCGGCCACAGUGGAACUGAGACACGGUCCAAACUCCUCCGGGAGGCAGCAGUGGGGAAUAUUGCACAAUGGGCGAAAGCCUGAUGCAGCAACGCCGCGUGAGCGAUGAAGGCCUUCGGGUCGUAAAGCUCUGUCCUCAAGGAAGAUAAUGACGGUACUUGAGGAGGAAGCCCCGGCUAACUACGUGCCAGCCGCCGCCGUAA